Molecule: long non-coding RNA, 466 nt
Organism: Gossypium arboreum
Lineage: Eukaryota; Viridiplantae; Streptophyta; Magnoliopsida; Malvales; Malvaceae
Exons: 2
Source: RefSeq, a predicted model, not a curated record
UAAAACUAAGCAUUGGUAAGCUCCAUCCUGCAAACCAAUACAAGCUCUUUGAUUUAAAUAUAGCCAUCGAUCAACAUGUGUAUAUGCAUCAAAUGUGGAUGCUUUAGCUGCAAAAAUACAAGCGGCGAGCGAGACGAGAAAGGGGGAGCGGCGGACUGUGUUGAUAUUAUGCUCGCAAUCUUGUUACAUCCUGCUGGGGUUUAUAAAAAAGAAGGCUGUACGGGACGAUUCCGGGCAAAUGUAGUAUUGACAAUAUUAGGAAUUGCUCCAGGAAGCAUCCACGCUGUCAUUUGCAUAUUAGGCAAAUGAAAUGGAUUUUCGAAUUAAAAAUUUACAAUUUAAAAUUUAAGAUUUUGAGUAAAUCGGGUUGAAUAACCUUCUCACUAUUAUUGUACCAUUGCAUCUUAUCAAUUGUUUGUGCUUGCCAAUUAGGCUCCCUUUUUACAUCUAUGUUUGGUUGAGUGAA